UCACAGAAUCCUCUUGCACAAGCUGAAAAACUACGUUGGAUUUUCUGGAGCGGUCCUUCACUGAUCCUGUUUAGAUGGCCGGAGUUAUUUAGUUACGAUUGGCAGCUAUGAAUCUGAGUGAGUGGCCAUGACUUGUUAUGUAACCACAACCAG
This is a long non-coding RNA of Melanotaenia boesemani (Boeseman's rainbowfish), 153 nucleotides long. RefSeq lists it as uncharacterized. The transcript has 3 exons. The record is from RefSeq and is a predicted model, not a curated record. NCBI's taxonomy places the organism in Eukaryota, Metazoa, Chordata, Actinopteri, Atheriniformes, Melanotaeniidae.